This 344-nucleotide long non-coding RNA is filed under the name Mytilus galloprovincialis (Mediterranean mussel). Lineage: Eukaryota; Metazoa; Mollusca; Bivalvia; Mytilida; Mytilidae. The record is from RNAcentral.
CCAAUUUGUAUCCAAAAAGAGCAUACACAUAUUUAUUCAGUCCAAAAUUUUUGUUUGGUUAACGGAUUGAUUUAAAUUAUUCAAUCAAACUGUUGCUAAAACACAAGAAAAAAGUACAUACGGUUCUAUGAUACUAUGAAUUUAACAUGUUUAAGAAAAGAUUGAAAGACUUUUUUAUUCUAGUGUGAAACAGCUUCACUGCUCCUUUGUUUUAAGAAAUUAAUCCACAUUUUAGAGCAUCGGAUAUUUGAGCGAAAUCCUUUUUUUUUUUUGGUUAGGGCCUAUUUGACUGAUACUCUAGAACGGAAACCAUUGUAUUUGAAUUUUUUGGAGGUACAUACAAC